RNAcentral lists this ribosomal RNA (671 nucleotides) under uncultured feedlot manure bacterium B7. RNAcentral's name for it is "bacterial SSU rRNA". It matches the Rfam family "Bacterial small subunit ribosomal RNA", at positions 34 to 687 of the family's 1533-position model. Lineage: Bacteria; Bacillati; Bacillota. The record is from RNAcentral.
CGYUGGCGGCGUGCCUAAUACAUGCAAGUCGAACGAACCUUGACGAGAACUUGUUCUGGUCAAGGUUAGUGGCGCACGGGUGAGUAACACGUGGGGAACCUGCCCUUUAGUGGGGGAUAACAGUCGGAAACGACUGCUAAUACCGCAUAGACAAACUAACCGCCUGGUUAGCUUGGGAAAGGUGCUACGGCAUCAUUAAAGGAUGGCCCCGCGGUGCAUUAGCUAGUUGGUAAGGUAACGGCUUACCAAGGCCAUGAUGCAUAGCCGACCUGAGAGGGUGAUCGGCCACAUUGGGACUGAGACACGGCCCAAACUCCUACGGGAGGCAGCAGUAGGGAAUCUUCCGCAAUGGACGCAAGUCUGACGGAGCAACGCCGCGUGUGUGAAGAAGGUUUUCGGAUCGUAAAGCACUGUUGUAGAGAAGAACGGCUACUAGAGGAAAUGUUAGUAGAUUGACGGUAUCUAACCAGAAAGCCACGGCUAACUACGUGCCAGCAGCCGCGGUAAUACGUAGGUGGCAAGCGUUGUCCGGAUUUAUUGGGCGCAAAGGGAGCGCAGGUGGUUUCUUAAGUCUGAUGUGAAAGCCCACGGCUUAACCGUGGAGGGUCAUUGGAAACUGGGGAACUUGAGUGCAGAAGAAGAAAGCGGAAUUCCAUGUGUAGCGGUGAAAU